AGGGAGGGAAGAGGGGCUGGGUCUCAGUCACCGCCUCGUGGGGGGUGCCUCUCCCUGCUGCGAUGGGGUUCCUAAUAGCCAGGGGAGGAAGAGGGGCUGGCUCUCUGUCCCUGCCUCAUGGGUGGUCCUUCCCCCCGCUGCGAUGGGGGUCCUAAGAGCAAGGGGGGGAAGUGGGGCUGGCUCUCUGUCCUCGCCUCACCAGGGGUGCCUCGCACCCUUGAGAUGGGGGUCCUAAGAGCCAGGGGGGGAAGAGGGGCUGGCUCUCAGUCACCACAGCAUGGGGGGGCCUUUCUGUUCUGGUUUUGCCCAAGAGUAAGCUUAUUUGCAUCUGGUUCUAGCAGGGCAGUUGCUGCCAAGGCCCUCAAACAUGGGGGCCAUCCUUUCGAAUCUCUGUCUAGCUGUUUAGAGAGGUAGGCCACCGGCCUCAGCCAAGGCCCCACAGUUUGGGUUUAAAGUCCAGCUGCCAUCUUUUCUCUGACGCAUACAAUGGAAAAGUCUUUGUGAGAUCGGGUAGCCCCUGGGCUGGGGCUUUCAGAAGUUUUUCCUUUAAGUCAUGAAAGACUUGCUGUUGUUGGAAUCCCCAUUCCAAAUGUUCCCGGUCCCCGCCCCCCUUUGUGACGUCAUAGAAAGGCGUGGCUAAUACUGCAAAGUUUGGGCUCCGCAGUCUACAAAACCCCACAGCUCCUAGGAAUUCUCUCACCAGCCUUCUGCCCUUAGGCUCCGGUAGAUUGCAAAUGACCUGCUUUCUUUGGGAUCCCGGGCUGCUUUCGGACACCUGUCGAAUAGUAAAUCCCAAGUAAGGUACCUGCGGUCGUCAGCAGAUCUGAGUUUUCUUCUUGGACACCUAAUACCCACAGCCCUCCAGAGACCGUGAGGUUGAUGUCACUCCCAAUAUCGGAGGAAGUAUGCACCCCCGUGUGAGAUGGUCCUUAAUAAUAUUCCACGGCGGAGGGGGUGAUAUGACUACAUACAUGGCAGAAAGUGGAAACCCCCCAGGGAUAUUAUUCCCACGAUCCUGGAGGGAAGAAGAUGAUGUUACUUUCAAUAUGACAGAAGGUGGAUGAAGUGGUGGACUGCCCCUCCACACCUGUGGACACGCCCCCACUGAUAUUUCUUCUAAUUGCAACGUGGGAGAGGAGGAUAUGACAGGCGAUAUCGCAGGGAGUAGAAACACCCCUGUGAUACUGUUCUUCAUAUUCAGGGAUGAAGAGGAUGAUAUUACUCCCAAUACAGACGGGUGUACACCCGUCUGUGAAAGAGUUCGUAAUCUCCAGAGGGGGAGAUGAUAUUACUCACAAUAUGGUAAAGAGGCUGUGAGUCCACGGAGGAUCCUCAGAGCCAGUGGGGGAAGAGGGGCUGGCUCUCAGUCCCCACCUCAGGGGGGUGACUACCCCCACUGCGAUGGGGGUCCUAAGAGCCAGUGGGGGAAGAGGGGCUGGCUCUGAGUCCCCGCCUCGCGGGGGGUGCCUCCCUUUCCUGCGAUGGGGGUCCUAAGAGCCAGCGGGGGAAGAGGAGCUGGCUCUCAGUCUCCGCCUCGCGAGGUGCCUCCCCACCUUGUGAUCGGGGUCCUAAGAGCCAGGGGGGAAGAGGGGCUGGCUCUCUUUGUGGAUGAUUCUUUUUCCAUUCUCAUGCACUUUUCUUUUUUCUUUCUUUUUUUUUUUUGAGACUGAGUCUUGCUCUGUUGCCCAUGCUUUGCUGGAUCUCGGGUGACUGCAACCACUGCCUCCCAGGUUCAAGAGAUUCUCCUGCCUCAGCCUCCUGAGUAGCUGGGACUAGAGGCGUGUGUCACCACACCCAGCUAAUUUUUGUAUUUUUAGUAGAGAUGGGGUUUCACCAUGUUUGCCAGGAUGGUCUCUAUCUCCUGACCUUGUGAUCCACCCACCUCAGCCUCCCAAAGUGCUGGGAUUGCAGGUGCGAGCCACCGGGUCCAGCCUCUCAGGCGAUUUUCAUACCUGCAUACUCUGAUCACUAUUCUGUUAAACAGUCAAGGAGGGUAAGUAUUAUCUUCAGAUUUCCAGAGCUCUGUCUCUGUACAGCCCUCUCCUCCUCAAUAUUCUGCCCUAUGAAUUCUAGCCACAUUGGCCUUCCCAGACUCACAGUUCUGUCCUCUCAACUCAGGAAGAUCUCUGAGCUCCAUCUGCAUUCUUUCUUCCUGUGCUGUGGCCUGGAAAGUUUUCUAAAGUGUUUGGGAGGUCAAUUGUGGGGCUAGCCUCAUUUGUUUCUCAUUUGUUGACGAUCACUGCCUUUUGAUGCUUGAUUCCAGUGAUUGAUUCCCUUUGUUGCUUGAGGGCCAUAGUUUCAUAUAUUUUGUCCAGUAUUUUUGUUGUUUUAGGUCAGAAAGUAAUUUUGGUCUCUGUUACUCCAUCUUGGCCAGAAGUGUAAGACCUAAGCAUUUACACAUCAAAAUACUGCACACAUAAUUUUAGUUUAAGCCACUUUUUAAAAAAUCUCCUUCAUUUUCCAUUUAGCAUUCUAUUUAGGGUAUUACAUUGGUUUUUUUGAAAUUCUGUUAUUGGCAGUUUCUAUUGCCUAUCAAUCCCAUUUAAAGAUAGUGCAUAGGGUAUUCUGAAAUAGCUGUUAAGCAAAGAGAAAAUUGGGCCUGAUAGGGUGAGAAUCACAGCUCUAAUACCUAGAGUGACCUUAUAAUGUAUUGUCCAAAGGAGAUAUUUUUGACAGUGAAAGAGGGUGUUGUUAGUAAUUAUAUCAGGACCAUGGCCUAAACCAGGACUAUCCCAGGCAGCCUGGGACAUAUUUGUACCCCAUCUCUAUUUAAUGCCUUUAUACAAUUCUUUACUUAAUUCUACCAGCCUUUAUUGAGCCUGCUUUCUUUGUCUAGCUGAGUGCCACGUGCUGACAUCACCAAGAUCAAUACAGCAAACUCUGAAAGAUGGACUGAGAGACAGGAGAUGGUCCUUUAUAAUGCAGUGUGAUCUGUGCUGCAAUAGAGAUGGAAGAGUGUUCUGAUCGGCUGGAAAACAACACACAUGGGAAGCUGUACAGAAAUGAGUGGGGAAAGUUUUGGAAGCUAGAAGUUCAAAACGAGGUGUUGGCAGCACCAUGCUCUCUCUGAAGAUGCUAGGAAGAAUCUGCUCCAUGCCUUUCCAUUCGCUUCUGGGGUUUCCUGCAAGCCCUGACAUUCCUUGGCUUGUAGAUGCAUCACCCCAGUUUCCGCCCCCAUCAUCACAUGGCCUCCUCUCUGCGUGUGCCUCUGCAUUCCCUCUAUUCUUCUUCUAAGGACACCGACACCAGUCAUAGUAGAUUAAGGGUCCACUCCUAACUAAUUACAUCUGCAACAACCCUAUUUCCAAAUAAAGUCACAUUCUAAGAUUCCUAGGGAGAACAUGAAUUUUUGGGGGUGUGUGGAUACUGUUCAACCUGGGACAUGGAGUAAAUAAAUGGCAAGGAAGAUUACAGAUGACUUUAAGCUAAAGAGGGAGAUAGGGUUAUAUGUAGGACUUUUUUUUUCCAGGA
This is a long non-coding RNA of Gorilla gorilla gorilla (western lowland gorilla), 3471 nucleotides long. RefSeq lists it as uncharacterized. The record is from RefSeq and is a predicted model, not a curated record. The transcript is spliced from 5 exons. NCBI's taxonomy places the organism in Eukaryota, Metazoa, Chordata, Mammalia, Primates, Hominidae.